CGGGAUGUGGCUCAAGAGGUAGCACACUUGCCUGGUAUGCAUGAGGCACUGGGUUUGAUCCCUAGCAUCCCUU
RNAcentral lists this transfer RNA (73 nucleotides) under Ictidomys tridecemlineatus (thirteen-lined ground squirrel). RNAcentral describes it as "Spermophilus tridecemlineatus (thirteen-lined ground squirrel) tRNA". It matches the Rfam family "tRNA". Rfam says of the family: Transfer RNA (tRNA) molecules are approximately 80 nucleotides in length. Their secondary structure includes four short double-helical elements and three loops (D, anti-codon, and T loops). Further hydrogen bonds mediate the characteristic L-shaped molecular structure. tRNAs have two regions of fundamental functional importance: the anti-codon, which is responsible for specific mRNA codon recognition, and the 3' end, to which the tRNAs corresponding amino acid is attached (by aminoacyl-tRNA synthetases). tRNAs cope with the degeneracy of the genetic code in two manners: having more than one tRNA (with a specific anti-codon) for a particular amino acid; and 'wobble' base-pairing, i.e. permitting non-standard base-pairing at the 3rd anti-codon position. The record is from Rfam by way of RNAcentral. Lineage: Eukaryota; Metazoa; Chordata; Mammalia; Rodentia; Sciuridae.